RNAcentral lists this non-coding RNA (77 nucleotides) under uncultured eukaryote. The record is from RNAcentral.
AGGGGUGUUGAGGGAUGUUGACCCAUGAGAGAACAUAUAAAAACCUUCAGGGAUUGUCGAAAAGUACGAUCGUGAAG